This 861-nucleotide ribosomal RNA is filed under the name Triticum aestivum (bread wheat). RNAcentral describes it as "partial small subunit ribosomal RNA". The record is from RNAcentral. Lineage: Eukaryota; Viridiplantae; Streptophyta; Magnoliopsida; Poales; Poaceae.
AUGCGCCUUAUGCAUUAUGUGUUUCGCCUUUACAUUGGUGAGUUUGCUGUGGUCUACUUUGACGAUAUCCUUGUGUUUAGAAAAUCUCUCAAAGAGCAUGUCACCCACCUUCGCACCGUGCUUCAAACUCUUCGAAAAGAGCGUCUUUAUGCUAAUAUGGAAAAAUGCCUUUUUGGUGUUGACAAGCUUGUUUUCUUGGGUUUUGUAGUAUCUUCUAAGGGUGUUCAUGUUGAUGAAUCUAAAAUCAAUGCUAUUAAAACUUGGCCCCAACCAACCAAUUUGCAACAAGUGCGUAGUUUUCUUGGUUUAGCUGGUUUUUACCGUCGCUUUGUGAAGGAUUUUAGCACCAUUGCAUCUCCUUUACAUGCUUUGAGCAACAAGAAUGCACCCUUUGUUUGGGGACCAUCUCAAGAUAGCGCAUUCAAUGAGCUUAAGAAUUUGCUUACGCAUGCUCCCGUGCUUGCUUUACCCAACUUUGACAAACCUUUUGAAAUUCAUUGUGAUGCUAGUGGUAAUGGCAUAGGAGGUGUGUUAACGCAAGAGAAGCGCCCCAUAGCAUACUUUAGUGAGAAACUCUCUGGAGCGCAACUCAAUUACCCCAUCUAUGACAAAGAGCUAUAUGCUUUAGUGCGAGUUUUGCAUGAAUGGGAACAUUACCUUCGCCCUCAUGAAUUUAUCAUCCAUACCGAUCAUGAAACGCUUAAGUACCUUAAGGGUCAAACUAAGUUGAACAAGCGUCAUGCUAAAUGGAGUGAGUUUAUAGAGUCUUUUCCUUAUGUUAUCAAAUACAUAAAAGGCAAAGAAAAUGUUGUGUGGAUGCACUUUCCCGUAUAUGCAUGCUUGUUACUCAACUUGAAUUGA